UGCCAGCCGCCGCGGUAAUACAUAGGAUGCAAGCGUUAUCCGGAUUUACUGGGCGUAAAACGAGCGCGGGUGGGUUAGGAAGUCUGGUGUUAAAUGCAGUAGCUUAACUAUUGUAUGCAUUGGAAACUCUUAACCUAGAGUGUAGUAGAGAGUUAUGGAACUCCAUGUGGAGCGGUGGAAUGCGUAGAUAUAUGGAAGAACACUAGAGGCGAAGGCGAUAACUUGGACUAUUACUGACACUUAGGCUCGAAAGUGUGGGGAGCAAAUAGGAUUAGAUA
This 278-nucleotide ribosomal RNA is filed under the name uncultured bacterium. Its description in RNAcentral is "partial 16S ribosomal RNA". It matches the Rfam family "Bacterial small subunit ribosomal RNA", at positions 506 to 784 of the family's 1533-position model. The record is from RNAcentral.